Molecule: ribosomal RNA, 468 nt
Filed under: uncultured bacterium
Lineage: Bacteria
Description: partial 16S ribosomal RNA
Rfam family: Bacterial small subunit ribosomal RNA
Source: RNAcentral
GACGAACGCUGGCGGCGUGCUUAACACAUGCAAGUCGAACGGAAAGGCCCUGCUUUUGUGGGGUGCUCGAGUGGCGAACGGGUGAGUAACACGUGAGUAACCUGCCCUUGACUUUGGGAUAACUUCAGGAAACUGGGGCUAAUACCGGAUAGGAUCUCCUGCUGCAUGGUGGGGGUUGGAAAGUUUCGGCGGUUGGGGAUGGACUCGCGGCUUACUAGCUUGUUGGUGGGGUAGUGGCUUACCAAGGCUUUGACGGGUAGCCGGCCUGGGAGGGUGACCGGCCACAUUGGGACUGAGAUAGGCCCCAGACUCGUACGGGAGGCAGCAGUGGGGAAUAUUGCACAAUGGGCGGAAGCGUGAUGCGGCAACGCCGCGUGCGGGAUGACGGCCUUCGGGGUGUAAACCGCUUUCGCCGGUGACGAAGCGUGAGUGACGGUAAUGGGUAAAGAAGCACCGGCUAACUACGUG